AUGAACGCUGGCGGCGUGCCUAAUACAUGCAAGUCGAGCGGAAAGGUUCUGCACUUAUUAUUUGAGUAGGUAAGUCUUAUAGAUACUACCUAAAAACGUAAUCGCUAGGCUAGUGAAUACGGUCGAAUAAUGGGGUGUAGAAUACUCGAGCGGCGGACGGCUGAGUAACACGUAGGAACGUACCCCAAAGUGAGGCAUAAGCACCAGAAAUGGUGUCUAAUACCGCAUGUGCUCUAAGGAGUAAAGCUUCGGCGCUUUGGGGAACGGCCUGCGCAUGAUUAGCUUGUUGGUGAGGUAAAAGCUCACCAAGGCGACGAUCAUUAGCUGGUCUGAGAGGAUGACCAGCCAGACUGGGACUGAGAACGGCCCAGACUCCUACGGGAGGCAGCAGUAGGGAAUUUUCCAC
This 406-nucleotide ribosomal RNA is filed under the name uncultured bacterium. Its description in RNAcentral is "bacterial SSU rRNA". It matches the Rfam family "Bacterial small subunit ribosomal RNA", at positions 29 to 369 of the family's 1533-position model. The record is from RNAcentral.